GCGCCGGUGGUGGAAUUGGUAGACACGUACGCUUGAGGGGCGUAUAUCGAAAGAUGUGAAGGUUCAAGUCCUUUCCGGCGCACCA
This 85-nucleotide transfer RNA is filed under the name Halobacteriovorax sp. Its description in RNAcentral is "tRNA-Leu". It matches the Rfam family "tRNA". From Rfam's summary of the family: Transfer RNA (tRNA) molecules are approximately 80 nucleotides in length. Their secondary structure includes four short double-helical elements and three loops (D, anti-codon, and T loops). Further hydrogen bonds mediate the characteristic L-shaped molecular structure. tRNAs have two regions of fundamental functional importance: the anti-codon, which is responsible for specific mRNA codon recognition, and the 3' end, to which the tRNAs corresponding amino acid is attached (by aminoacyl-tRNA synthetases). tRNAs cope with the degeneracy of the genetic code in two manners: having more than one tRNA (with a specific anti-codon) for a particular amino acid; and 'wobble' base-pairing, i.e. permitting non-standard base-pairing at the 3rd anti-codon position. Lineage: Bacteria; Pseudomonadati; Bdellovibrionota; Bacteriovoracia; Bacteriovoracales; Halobacteriovoraceae. The record is from RNAcentral.